AAGGAGUCUAACAUAUGUGCGAGUAUUUGGGUGGUAAACCCGAAUGCGUAAUGAAAGUGAACGUAGGAGUAAUUCGCAAGACGCACCAUCGACCGAUCUGGAUCUUUUGUGAUGGAUUUGAGUAAGAGCACAUAUGUUGGGACCCGAAAGAUGGUGAACUAUGCCUGAAUAGGGCGAAGCCAGAGGAAACUCUGGUGGAGGCUCGUAGCGAUUCUGACGUGCAAAUCGAUCGUCAAAUUUGGGUAUAGGGGCGAAAGACUAAUCGAACCAUCUAGUAGCUGGUUCCUGC
This 289-nucleotide unclassified non-coding RNA is filed under the name uncultured fungus. RNAcentral's name for it is "partial contains 5.8S rRNA, ITS2 and 28S rRNA". It matches the Rfam family "Eukaryotic large subunit ribosomal RNA", at positions 668 to 961 of the family's 3401-position model. The record is from RNAcentral. Lineage: Eukaryota; Fungi.